AAAUUUAGGAUACAUUUUAAAUCCAGGAGCCUUCAAAGCCCCAAAAAAGAGUCAUCACCCUCUUAAUUUCU
This 71-nucleotide transfer RNA is filed under the name Cnemaspis selenolagus (Moon rabbit rock gecko). RNAcentral describes it as "tRNA-Trp". The record is from RNAcentral. Lineage: Eukaryota; Metazoa; Chordata; Lepidosauria; Squamata; Gekkonidae.